ACUUCCAUUCGCGAUGACUGUUAAGCUAAGUGUAGGACAAGGCAUCCGGUAACGUGAAAUGCGUAGAAUUCGAGAACACAGUGGCGAGCGCUCUGCUGCAUACUGACGCUCAUGACGAAAGCAGGGAGCGAAAGGGAUUAGAAUACCCUGUAGUCUGCGUAAACGAUGAACACUAGGUGUCGGGGGAAUCGACCCCUCGGUGUCGUAGCCAACGCGUUAAGUGUUCCGCCUGGGGAGUACGCACGCAAGUGUGAAACUCAAAGGAAUUGACGGGGGCCCGCACAAGCGGUGGAGUAUGUGGUUUAAUUCGAUGCAACGCGAAGAACCUUACCAGGGUUUGACAUCCUGCGAAUUCCUUGGAAACUUGGAAGUGCCUUCGGGAGCGCAGAGACAGGUGGUGCAUGGCUGUCGUCAGCUCGUGUCGUGAGAUGUUGGGUUAAGUCCCGCAACGAACGCAACCCACGUCUUUAGUUGCCAGCAUUAAGUUGGGCACUCUAGAGAGACCGCCGGUGAUAAACCGGAGGAAGGUGUGGAUGACGUCAAGUCAUCAUGCCCCUUACAUCCUGGGCUACACACGUACUACAAUGCUACGGACAAAGGGCAGCAAACUCGCGAGAGCUAGCAAAUCCCAUAAACCGUGGCUCAGUUCAGAUCGUAGGCUGCAACUCGCCUACGUGAAGGAGGAAUCGCUAGUAAUCGCAGGUCAGCAUACUGCGGUGAAUACGUUCCCGGGCCUUGUACACACCGCCCGUCACACCAUGGAGGUUGGCCACGCCCGAAGUCGUUACUCCAACCCUUGUGGAGGAGGAUGCCGAAGGUGGGGCUGAUGACUGGGGUGAAGUCGUAACAAGGUAGCCGUACCGGAAGGUGCGGCUGGAUCACCUCCUAACAGGGAUACAAUAACUAAUUGUGAUGUCUGAGUAAUUUAUUCUCAGGCCAUGAUUCUGUCAUCUCUAAGGUCGAUCGGUGCCUCAAUUUGAGAAUUCAAGAAGAACUGAGAAAUCAGUUUGGAGAUGAAGGUCUUAAUUUCAGUUCCUAAACUUUGUCUAGGUCACCCCACAGCGGGUAAAGCCGAGAACACAUUUAAUUUAUUUAUUUGUGUUUGAUCUGGCAAGUCGAAAGGCGAGCUAGGUUGCGGCGAGAGCUCCUGGGCCAUUAGCUCAGGUGGUUAG
This 1172-nucleotide small RNA is filed under the name uncultured cyanobacterium. Its description in RNAcentral is "bacterial SSU rRNA". The stretch from base 1 to 889 matches the Rfam family "Bacterial small subunit ribosomal RNA", at positions 616 to 1533 of the family's 1533-position model. The record is from RNAcentral. Lineage: Bacteria; Bacillati; Cyanobacteriota.